AGCGAAGGGCACGCCCCGCGCGGGUGCCAGGGAGGCCGGCAGGGGCGUCCGCGGUCGCUGCUCACCUGCGCUCCCCGCUGCCCGGCCCAGCCCGCCUCGCCACCGAGUCUGGAAGCCCACACUCACCCCUUUACCCGGGAAACGCGGCCGGAGCCGGCGGCGGGUCGGGAGUCCGAGAUGGUAGAUCCCCCUCCAGGCGCCUCGCUGACAUUUUGUCCCGGACGGAAAACCUCCGCGCGUGCCCCUUAAAGACACAGCGCUGCAUUCACACGUCUGCGGGGAAAGGGGGGCCGUCACGUGUGGCCUUCGCCCGAAAGCGGUAGGGGAGUCGCUCUGAAACCGCCAAGGAUCGCGAGCGACAGAUUUGUGUUGGCCAGGGUUUUAAGAUGACGCAAUAGCUGAGUGUGGUUGAAAUGUAACUAUUGUUUUACAACUUUGCAUUAACCUUCCAAGACCUGAAUUCCCGGGCCUGAGUCUCAGAGCGCGGUUUGCAUCUUUGCAGGCUGUAGGCGCAUGAUGUCACAAGUUAUUGGAAGAAAUCCCUCCAACCUAGGUUGGGACAGAUGAAGGCGGCGCUUAUUGGUGUUCACCAAAACACCAGCAUGGUGUACCAGCUUUGGCUAGAUGAUGCUCAGGAAAACACAGAUCCUGGUGCCGAACAUGAGGACAGGGCAGGCCGAAGGAGAAAGUGGAAGGAGGGGAGCUUCUCUCUCAGCCUCAUCCUUCUGGGCCUGGAUGCUGGAGAGUCAUGAGGUGCUUCAGAGUACUCUGGGUGAGGAGGGAAAGAUGGUGCCCACCACAUGGAGGCCAGCCUAGGUCUUGUAUGAAACCUGUGAGGAGAUUCUCUCUCCCUUGCUGUCUUUGAAAAAGCAAGUUGCCAUGUGAAGAGGGCCAUAUAGCAUAGGAGCUGAAGGCAGCCUCCAACUGACGGCAAGAAAAUGAGGUCCUCAGUCUGACAACCUGCAAGAAACUGAAUGUUCUAAAAGCCACAUGAGCUUGGGAGCAGAUCUGACCCCAGCCAAAUCUCUGAAGUCCGCAGGCAGGAAAUGAAGAUCAGAAAAAGGCUAUUGUCUCAUGAAUAUGAGCCAGACUCCACAGAAGCUGGAGUCCUUCAUUAUGGAGCUAAACACAUACACCUGGCUUAGGAGUCAGAAAAACUGAAAGAGAAUUCAGGGAAGUAGAGAAAUUGCAAGCCCAGAUGCUGCUUCAUACCAAAGAAGCAAGUCAGCAGGUCAGCAACAAUGUGUAUCAGUUCCAAAAUGACUUACACAGGUACCAAGACAAGACAUUAUAUACACUUAUAUAGUCAAAUACUUUAAAACUGUUAACAAACUUGCUACAAUUGUCUCAUUUGUCUUUUAACCUUAAUAUCACAGAUCAAGUUUGUAAUCUCAAAAGUUCACCCUGGCUGCUGUGUGGAGUAUUCUCUUAUCUGCUCAUAUUACACUGUGCUUAUUCAUUCAUCAGUUAAUGGAAAUUUGGGUUGUUUCCUGAUUUUGACUGUAAUGAAUAAUGUUGCUGUAAACAUUCAUGUACAGUUUUGUGUGGACAUGCUUUUCUUUCUCUUGGGUAGGUUCCUAUGAGUGGAAUCACUAGAUUGUAUGGUAAAUGUAUGUUUAACUUUUAAAGAAACUGUCAAACUGUUUUCUAACAUGAACGGGCCAUUUUACGUUCUUAUCAACAAUAUAUGAUGGUUU
RNAcentral lists this long non-coding RNA (1697 nucleotides) under Homo sapiens (human). RNAcentral's name for it is "non-protein coding ZBED3-AS1:41". The record is from RNAcentral. Lineage: Eukaryota; Metazoa; Chordata; Mammalia; Primates; Hominidae.